UGGCGGCGUGCGUAUACAUGCAAGUCGAGCGGACCUUCGGGUCAGCGGCGGACGGGUGAGGAACACGUGAGUGAUCUAUCGAUGAGUGGGGGAUAUCGGGCCGAAAGGCGCGGCAAUCCCGCAUACGUUCCUACGGGAAGAAAGCUGGGCAACUGGCGCUCAUCGCGGAGCUCGCGGCCCAUUAGCUAGUUGGGGGGGUAACGGCCUCCCAAGGCGACGAUGGGUAGCCGGCCUGAGAGGGUGAACGGCCACACUGGGACUGAGACACGGCCCAGACUCCUACGGGAGGCAGCAGUAGGGAAUCUUCCACAAUGGGCGCAAGCCUGAUGGAGCAACGCCGCGUGAGUGAAGACGGCCUUCGGGUUGUAAAGCUCUGUCUGUCGGGACGAAGACCGGGACGGGAGUCCCGGGGAGCCGGUACCGACGAAGGAAGCCCCUGCAAACUACGUGCCAGCAGCCGCGGUAAGACGUAGGGGGCAAGCGUUGUCCGGAAUUACUGGGCGUAAAGGGCGUGUAGGCGGUGCGAUACGUAGCGGUUUUAAGCCUCCGGCUCACCCGGAGGAGGGCGGCUAAACGGUCGCACUGGAGGGCAGGAGAGGUGCGUGGAAUUCCUGGUGGAGCGGUGAAAUGCGUAGAGAUCAGGAAGAACACCAGUGGCGAAGGCGGCGCACUGGCCUGACCCUGACGCUGAGGCGCGACAGCGUGGGGAGCAAACGGGAUUAGAUACCCCGGUAGUCCACGCCGUAAACGAUGGAUACUAG
This 761-nucleotide ribosomal RNA is filed under the name uncultured Sulfobacillus sp. RNAcentral's name for it is "bacterial SSU rRNA". It matches the Rfam family "Bacterial small subunit ribosomal RNA", at positions 37 to 819 of the family's 1533-position model. The record is from RNAcentral. Lineage: Bacteria; Bacillati; Bacillota; Clostridia; Eubacteriales; Clostridiales Family XVII. Incertae Sedis.